GGAAAUGUGCCCGAAAGAUAGGGACCUCCUUGAUAUGGAGAACAAUAGGGGUUCAAAUCCCCUCACUUCCU
RNAcentral lists this transfer RNA (71 nucleotides) under Phasmahyla cruzi. Its description in RNAcentral is "tRNA-Ile". It matches the Rfam family "tRNA". From Rfam's summary of the family: Transfer RNA (tRNA) molecules are approximately 80 nucleotides in length. Their secondary structure includes four short double-helical elements and three loops (D, anti-codon, and T loops). Lineage: Eukaryota; Metazoa; Chordata; Amphibia; Anura; Hylidae. The record is from RNAcentral.